UAAUACGAAGGUGGCAAGCGUUGUUCGGAUUCACUGGGCGUACAGGGAGCGUAGGCGGUUGGGUAAGCCCUCCGUGAAAUCUCCGGGCCUAACCCGGAAAGUGCAGAGGGGACUGCUUGGCUAGAGGAUGGGAGAGGAGCGCGGAAUUCCCGGUGUAGCGGUGAAAUGCGUAGAGAUCGGGAGGAAGGCCGGUGGCGAAGGCGGCGCUCUGGAACAUUUCUGACGCUGAGGCUCGAAAGCGUGGGGAGCAAACAGGAUUAGAUACCCUGGUAGUCCACGCCUUAAACUAUGGAUACUAAGUGUCGGCGGGUUACCGCCGGUGCCGCAGCUAACGCAGUAAGUAUCCCGCCUGGGAAGUACGGCCGCAAGGUUGAAACUUAAAGGAAUUGACGG
Molecule: ribosomal RNA, 393 nt
Filed under: uncultured nitrite-oxidizing bacterium
Lineage: Bacteria
Description: bacterial SSU rRNA
Rfam family: Bacterial small subunit ribosomal RNA
Source: RNAcentral